RNAcentral lists this ribosomal RNA (552 nucleotides) under Bifidobacterium longum subsp. suillum. Its description in RNAcentral is "bacterial SSU rRNA". It matches the Rfam family "Bacterial small subunit ribosomal RNA", at positions 144 to 711 of the family's 1533-position model. The record is from RNAcentral. Lineage: Bacteria; Bacillati; Actinomycetota; Actinomycetes; Bifidobacteriales; Bifidobacteriaceae.
UCUCUCCUGGAAACGGGUGGUAAUGCCGGAUGCUCCAGUUGAUCGCAUGGUCUUCUGGGAAAGCUUUCGCGGUAUGGGAUGGGGUCGCGUCCUAUCAGCUUGACGGCGGGGUAACGGCCCACCGUGGCUUCGACGGGUAGCCGGCCUGAGAGGGCGACCGGCCACAUUGGGACUGAGAUACGGCCCAGACUCCUACGGGAGGCAGCAGUGGGGAAUAUUGCACAAUGGGCGCAAGCCUGAUGCAGCGACGCCGCGUGAGGGAUGGAGGCCUUCGGGUUGUAAACCUCUUUUAUCGGGGAGCAAGCGAGAGUGAGUUUACCCGUUGAAUAAGCACCGGCUAACUACGUGCCAGCAGCCGCGGUAAUACGUAGGGUGCAAGCGUUAUCCGGAAUUAUUGGGCGUAAAGGGCUCGUAGGCGGUUCGUCGCGUCCGGUGUGAAAGUCCAUCGCUUAACGGUGGAUCCGCGCCGGGUACGGGCGGGCUUGAGUGCGGUAGGGGAGACUGGAAUUCCCGGUGUAACGGUGGAAUGUGUAGAUAUCGGGAAGAACACCA